This 484-nucleotide ribosomal RNA is filed under the name uncultured bacterium. Its description in RNAcentral is "partial 16S ribosomal RNA". It matches the Rfam family "Bacterial small subunit ribosomal RNA", at positions 30 to 507 of the family's 1533-position model. The record is from RNAcentral.
AUUGAACGCUGGCGGCAGGCCUAACACAUGCAAGUCGAGCGGAUGAAGGGAGCUUGCUCCUGGAUUCAGCGGCGGACGGGUGAGUAAUGCCUAGGAAUCUGCCUGGUAGUGGGGGAUAACGUCCGGAAACGGGCGCUAAUACCGCAUACGUCCUGAGGGAGAAAGUGGGGGAUCUUCGGACCUCACGCUAUCAGAUGAGCCUAGGUCGGAUUAGCUAGUUGGUGGGGUAAAGGCCUACCAAGGCGACGAUCCGUAACUGGUCUGAGAGGAUGAUCAGUCACACUGGAACUGAGACACGGUCCAGACUCCUACGGGAGGCAGCAGUGGGGAAUAUUGGACAAUGGGAGAAAGCCUGAUCAAGCCAUGCCGCGUGUGUGAAGAAGGUCUUCGGAUUGUAAAGAACUUUAAGUUGGGAGGAAGGGCAGUAAGUUAAUACCUUGCUGUUUUGACGUUACCAACAGAAUAAGCAACGGCUAACUUCGUG